This is a non-coding RNA of Sus scrofa (pig), 5731 nucleotides long. NCBI's taxonomy places the organism in Eukaryota, Metazoa, Chordata, Mammalia, Artiodactyla, Suidae. The record is from RefSeq and is a predicted model, not a curated record.
CGGCGCCUGCGCGGUGGGCGUGAUCCGGGCACUUAGGGCAGGAUGAACGCUGCUUUCCAAGAUGGCGACGGAGGGAGGAGGGAAGGAGAUGAACGAGAUUAAGACCCAAUUCACCACCCGGGAAGGUCUGUACAAGCUGCUGCCGCACUCGGAGUACAGCCGGCCCAACCGGGUGCCCUUCAGCUCGCAGGGAUCCAACCCUGUCCGCGUCUCCUUCGUAAACCUCAACGACCAGUCUGGCAACGGCGACCGCCUCUGCUUCAAUGUGGGCCGGGAGCUCUACUUCUAUAUCUACAAGGGGGUCCGCAAGGCUGCUGACUUGAGUAAACCAAUAGAUAAAAGGAUAUACAAAGGAACACAGCCUACUUGUCAUGACUUCAACCACCUCACAGCCACAGCAGAAAGUGUCUCUCUCCUAGUGGGCUUUUCCGCAGGCCAAGUCCAGCUUAUAGACCCAAUCAAAAAAGAAACUAGCAAACUAUUUAAUGAGGAAAGACUAAUAGACAAGUCGCGAGUAACCUGUGUCAGAUGGGUUCCUGGUUCGGAAAGCCUGUUCCUAGUAGCCCAUUCGAGCGGGAACAUGUACUUGUAUAAUGUGGAGCACGCUUGUGGCACCACAGCCCCCCACUACCAGCUUCUGAAGCAGGGAGAGAGCUUUGCCGUGCACACUUGCAAGAGCAAAUCCACGAGGAACCCUCUCCUUAAGUGGACGGUGGGCGAGGGGGCCCUCAACGAGUUUGCUUUCUCCCCAGAUGGCAAGUUCUUGGCGUGCGUGAGCCAGGACGGCUUCCUGCGGGUGUUCAACUUUGACUCGGUGGAGCUGCACGGCACCAUGAAAAGCUACUUUGGAGGCUUGCUGUGCGUGUGCUGGAGCCCCGACGGCAAGUACAUUGUGACGGGCGGCGAGGACGACCUGGUGACGGUCUGGUCUUUUGGAGACCGCCGGGUGAUAGCGCGGGGCCACGGGCACAAGUCCUGGGUCAGCGUGGUGGCCUUCGACCCCUACACCACCAGCGUGGAGGAGAGCGACCCUCUGGAGCUGAGUGGCAGCGACGAGGACUUCCAAGACCUUCUGCACUUCGGCCGAGACCGCGCCAACAGCACCCAGUCCCGGCUGUCCAAGCGGAACUCGACCGAGAGCCGCCCCGUCAGCGUCACCUACCGCUUCGGCUCCGUGGGCCAGGACACGCAGCUCUGCCUCUGGGACCUCACGGAGGACAUCCUCUUCCCCCACCAGCCCCUCUCGAGAGCGAGGACACACACCAACGUCAUGAACGCCACGAGCCCCCCCGUCGGCAGCGCCGGGAACAGUGUCUCGACGCCGGGCAACGCGGCGCCGCCGCCCCUGCCGCGGUCCAACAGCCUCCCGCACUCGGCCGUGUCCGGCGCGGGCAGCAAGAGCAGCGUCGCCGACGGGGCCGUGGCGUCCGGGGUCAGCAAGUUCGCCACGCUCUCCCUGCACGAGCGCAAGGACAGGCACCACGAGAAAGACCACAAGCGAAACCACAGCAUGGGACACAUCUCUAGCAAGAGCAGCGACAAACUGAACCUGGUCACGAAAGCCAGAACGGACCCAGCUAAAACUCUGGGCACGGCCCUGUGCCCUCGGAUGGAAGACGUUCCCUUGUUAGAGCCGCUCAUCUGUAAAAAGAUAGCCCACGAAAGACUGACGGUAUUGAUUUUUCUUGAAGACUGUAUAGUCACUGCUUGUCAGGAGGGAUUUAUUUGCACAUGGGGAAGGCCUGGUAAAGUGGUAAGUUUUAACCCUUAAUGCUGCACCAGAUCUAGAACUUGAAUAGGUAGUGAUUUUUUUCUUGCGGGAGGGGCGGGGUGUACAAUGACUGUGAAUGACACUUCUUCUUAAUGUAAAUCUCAAUGCAUCAGAGCCAUAAUUUUGGAUACUGCAUGCCAUGUAAUUCCGAAUCAUUUGAUAAUUCACCUUAGAACGUUUAAAAAAUAUAAUCAAACUAAUUGCCAGCCAAGUCAGUCACCCUCCUGGGAGUAUAUAGCGUCCCCAGGCUAGCGUUCCUGUAUUAGACGAUUUCGAUUUUAGGAAAAUCAUGACAGUGUGGGGAAACAGUGACUUUAAAAAUGCUAAAAUUAAAAUUUCUGCUUCAACUGGAAUAUUUUUGCUCAAGCACUCAAUUAGAAUAUUGUACACCUGAUCAGAGCGUGUGUUCACUACGGGCGGCCAUUAACUGUCAUUUAUAAGAAGUCCCCUUUUUUAUCUUAAUCAUAAAAUGUGUAGGAAUCUAUGAAAUUUAACUUUAGGAACAAAGCGUUCAGCAGGGUUGAUUGAUAUUAUUUUUACAUUGUCUGGCAAUCCACAGAAAGAGAAGAGCCUUAAUUUUUAAAACCCAUUUUAGUCAUUUUAUGACAAUUAAAAUUGUUUAAUAAACAUCUUUUUUCAAAGAAGCAGUUUGUAGCACUUUGAUUGAGAUUCUGUGCACUAAAUAAAAUAUCCACGAGCCUGGCCAGUUACCAUGAACUGCGGGCUGAGGGCGCCAGCAGCGUUGGCAGAAGUGCCUCUUGACACAUAAGCCAAGAUCUUUUAUGUCGAAUGCAAUUUGCUUAUGUUUUCUCCAGCAAGGGGAAGGAGGUUCUGUUUUCUUUUGGGUUCGGGGGGAGGGACUCUUGUGAGUUUUUGUGGUUUUUUGGUCAAAAGGCACAUGACCGGAGGCCCUUCAGACUCCUCGGCUUUGUGGUGUGAAGACUCCUAGGCCCCCAGGGUGCAGAGAACUUGCAGCUUUUCCCUGGUUUGGGUUUUGUGUUCCCGCCGGAGGGGAAGGGCCGGUGCAGGUUGCUCCUUUUCUUGUGGUCAGGUUAGUCGUGGUUCACGAGCUGUGAUCAUUCCCGGGAUGCCCCGGGCCUCUGGGUCGGGGGCUCCCACCCCAAGCGCCUCCCCUGCCUGGGGUCUGUGGCUGCUGGUGCCAGGGCCGCCCUCUGCUCAGACUGGCUGCUUCCGGAGGCUUCCGCCUCCAGGGGAAACUGCUGUGUUUGACUGAGUCCUCAAGAUCCCUCCUAGCUGUGGGCGGGGUUUUCUUUCCGAUUCCAGUUGAGACGAUGGAUGAGAUGGCGCUUUGAGCUGUGUGUUUUAAGUCAGGAUGAUGCGGAUCUUAUUAUUUUGGUCACUUCGGUUUGUUUUUCUGUUGCACCCGCCUUGGCGAUUAAACAUAGCCAGCCUGAUCACUUACCUUGGUGUGAGUCGUAAACGCAGUUCAGCCAAGUGCCGGCCUGGAGACCCUGGCUUCUCUGCAGGGUGAGGGUGGCUGAUGGAGCAGAAGCGCUGUGCUCCUCCAGCAGCCAGAGCGCGCCCACCCACCGCCCCCCUCCCCGGGGAAGGCCGGGCCAGCUCCCCCCGCCAUGCCCCGCUGCACACGUGUCCACCUGCCCGUGACGCAGGUGGCCUCUGUUACCUGUGGCAGCAGUGGCAGUGUCCUUCCAGCUGCAUGUCCCCCUGGGUACGCGUCACGGUCCGUGGGACUGUUGGCGUCCUGUAACCUGGAAGGUAUGGUCCUUUGUUCCUAAACGUUAACCACCCUAGGGUGGCAAAGCCAGCCAUCCCUGUGGGCUCUUUGAACUGCGAAGGCUAAUAAAUUGGCUGUCAGAUGCAGAGGUUAGGGACCGACACGCCACGUGCAGCCGUAUGUACCCACAUAGUUUCAGAAAUUCCGUUUCAAAUGCUUCUGAGGCAUUGAGUAUGCAGUUUCAAAAUUCAGGACUUUGUAUUUGGCCUAAGCGGAAGUGGCGAUCGGAUCCCAGGUAAGUAGCCUUUGGAGGAGAGCCUGUCAAGCAUGACCUUUCAGCUCAUCACACUGCUGGCAGAAGAGCCUUGCGUGUGGCCCGCGGAACUGGCGCUUGGGCGACUGGGCUCUUUCUGGUUCCUUCUGGCCGUCAGUGUCUGCUGGGGAGACUAACCUGGGGGGGUCUGGGGGUGGGAGCAGGGUAGGAGAGGCGAGAGGGGGAUGGUAUCGUGUCCUUAAGAAAGAAGCUCGAGGAGUUGCCCUUGUGGCUCAGCAGAAGUGAAUCUGACAAGGAUCCAUGAGGACACAGGUUCAAUCCCUGGCCUCGCUCAGUGGGUUAAGGAUCCGGCGUUGCUGUGAGCUGUGGUCACAGUGUGGCUCGAAUCCUGCGUUGCUGUGGCUGUGCUGUAGGCCGGCAGCUACAGCUCCGAUUCGAUCCCUAGCCUGGGACUCUCCAUAUGCCGUGGAUGCGGCCCUAAAAAGACAAAAAGACCAAAAAAAAAAAAAAAAAACAGCUCUGAAAUGUGUUGACCAAAGUCGGCGUCCAUCUUCGCCGCCGCCCCCACCUUCAGCUUUCCAGUCCGUGGUCCCCGCACAGUUUGGGAUUUGGGCCUUGGUCGCAGUCUCGCUCUUCCAGUUUCCACUGGGGCGUGUAUCCUUGGCAUCUGUCUGGGGCCCCCGUGCCGGGCGUCGGGUGCUGGGGUGGGGCUGGCUUGGCCCAGGCUGCUCGGCCCCCCUCUCCGGGCAGCCAGCGCAGCCUCCAGCGGUCGUCAGGAGGGCCGGCGGAGGGCCGGGCGUCCUCCCAGACCAGGCCCGAAGGGCCCUGGGGAGGGAGGGGCCCUCGAUGGCUUCUGCGUGGCGGCGCCCGCAGACGAGGGGCCGGCGGCCUCCCCUCCGGGCCGGCAGGCGCCGUGGCUGCUGCGGGUCGUCUGGGGGCGAUGGGGAGUUUCGCACAGAACUUCGAGCUUUCUCUUUGAAAUGUUUCCGUUUUUCAGCUUAAACAUUAUUUCGAGCAAGAACAUCUUUUCUAAGCUAACCUCCGGAAUAAAACGCCUUUGGGCAAGAAGAGGCUGUUCCUGCCGGGGCAGCGCGACUCUGCGGCGCCCCGGACGCAGCGCUGGCGGCGGCGCAGGUGACAGCCGCGGCCGGCGGCCCUGCCCUCCUCGGGCUCCUCGCCGGCCUCCAGGGCGUGCCAGGCGCUGGGGCGGGGGGGGGGGGGCACCCGGCCCGGCCCCCGGCCGAGCGUCUCCCCCGGGAGGCUGGAGAAGGAACCUUCGGGAACAGCGCCUUCUUCUCGGAGCGCGCGCGCCCGCGGCAGGGGGUCGGCUCCAGGACCCCUGUGCUGGCCGCUGAGAGAGACGGUGGGGAGAGAGGAGUCCAGGGCUGACCUGGAAGAGCGCUUGUACCUGUUGUUCCCUUUGAAAGUCAGAGCCAAGUUCACGCCUCUGUGUAACAGCCCCUCCGGGAGAGGGACGCUGCCCCACUGGUACUGACUUCUUAGUCCUUGCUGCAUCUGUUCCAUGAAUCUUGUCACGGUUCCAUCGCUGUCUCUCAGUUUUAAAAUGUAAAAGCGAAUUUUUUUUCUGCAUUUUUAAUUUCUGUACACCUAAGUUUAUUAAAGGUUACUCUGUUAGGUGACACUGUAUAAAACUGUGUAUCUCCCUUUAGUGAAAACCAAAAUUCAUGUAUAUUUUCUUUUCUACAUUUUCAUCUAAUUUCUUGAAAACUUGAAUAAAUUUCAUUAAGAGCCUUCCUCACAGGAAAUGUUGGUAAAUUAAGUUUGUAACUGUUGCAAUAAUUAAUGAAGCUUUAAUAUCAGUAUUGUUGCUUUAUAAUUUUAAGAAAAUCAUGUUUGUUUCACUGCCUUGGUUUUUAGCUGUUCCCUUGUCACUGUCACAGCUAGAGACUUCGUACAUACUUGAUAUUCUGAAGAACUGAGGUUGUCCUCUGUAUAACGACCUUAAAUAAACGUCUGAACGAACUGUAAA